GGAUGUGAGGGUGAUCUGGCUGUGACAUCUGUCACUCCGAGUGAUCUCCAGGGUUGAUUUGGCCCAUGUGGCUGGCUAGGCUGGUGUCCCCUUCCUCCCUCACGGCUCUGUGUGGGUUCCCUCCCGAAGCUGUGCACUGGGCCCAAGAGGAUGACCUUGCAUGACAGAGGGGGACUGACUGUUGCUCAGGCAGAAGUGUAGAAGUAGCUGUGCUCCCCUCCUAGCACCUCCAGACAAGCUCUCCAGGAGCGCUCCCUGCAGAAUGUAGGGUAGUCAAGCUUCCAAGACUCCAGGCACAUCCAGAUGAGGUGCCGCGUGUGGCUGUCUGCCUUUCUUA
Unclassified non-coding RNA from Panthera pardus (leopard), 337 nucleotides. Its record names the gene 7SK. It matches the Rfam family "7SK RNA". From Rfam's summary of the family: 7SK was discovered as an abundant small nuclear RNA in the mid-70s but a possible function has only recently been suggested. Two independent studies have found that 7SK RNA binds the CDK9/cyclin T complex (known as elongation factor P-TEFb). The record is from Ensembl. NCBI's taxonomy places the organism in Eukaryota, Metazoa, Chordata, Mammalia, Carnivora, Felidae.